RNAcentral lists this ribosomal RNA (633 nucleotides) under uncultured bacterium. RNAcentral describes it as "bacterial SSU rRNA". It matches the Rfam family "Bacterial small subunit ribosomal RNA", at positions 65 to 735 of the family's 1533-position model. The record is from RNAcentral.
AGCUGUGAAGUUUCAGGAUGGAUCACUUAGUGGCGGACGGGUGAGUAACGCGUGGGUACCUGCCUCACACUGGGGGAUAACAGUUAGAAAUAGCUGCUAAUACCGCAUAAGUCCGCAUGGAAAAAACUCCGGUGGUGUGAGAUGGACCCGCGUCUGAUUAGCCAGUUGGCGGGGUAACGGCCCACCAAAGCGACGAUCAGUAGCCGGCCUGAGAGGGUGAACGGCCACAUUGGGACUGAGACACGGCCCAAACUCCUACGGGAGGCAGCAGUGGGGAAUAUUGCACAAUGGGGGAAACCCUGAUGCAGCGACGCCGCGUGAGUGAAGAAGUAUUUCGGUAUGUAAAGCUCUAUCAGCAGGGAAGAAGUGACGGUACCUGAAUAAGAAGCCCCGGCUAACUACGUGCCAGCAGCCGCGGUAAUACGUAGGGGGCAAGCGUUAUCCGGAUUUACUGGGUGUAAAGGGAGCGUAGACGGCAAGGCAAGUCUGAAGUGAAAGCCCGGUGCUUAACGCCGGGACUGCUUUGGAAACUGUUUGGCUGGAGUGCCGGAGAGGUAAGCGGAAUUCCUAGUGUAGCGGUGAAAUGCGUAGAUAUUAGGAAGAACACCAGUGGCGAAGGCGGCUUACUGGACG